Xyrichtys novacula (pearly razorfish) is the source of this 1593-nucleotide non-coding RNA. The record is from the annotation of a GenBank genome assembly. Lineage: Eukaryota; Metazoa; Chordata; Actinopteri; Labriformes; Labridae.
CUGGAUUAAAGCUCCUUUUGUAUUUAAUGAAAUCACAGCAGAGCGGAUUCAGAGGGAGGCGGACGUUCCUGUAAAACUUGAUGAACUUCCUCCUCAUUACAUUAAACUGAAGAAGAAAGACUUCCUGAACUCACGGAGACUUCAUCCAGACGCUCCCUCCAUCAUCAUCAUCAUUAAUUUACCCUCUCAGCUCCGAAACGCUCCUUCAACAAACCUCCACCCACGGAGUCUUCUCUGAACCAGAACCCCGUCAGACCCGUUUCCAAUAUUCGAUCAGAAACGGUCAUUAAUCAGAUUAACCAGUGAAGCACAGAGGGACCCUCAUUGGUCAGCACAGCUGUCAAUCAUAGUUAUGUCACUUCUAUGUCAGACUCUGAGUCUGAAAUUCAUCUGGAACAAAGUCGGAUUUACAAUUUAGGAAAGUCAGACGAUCCUCGCCGACCCCGACUUGACGACGACCUCAUAAUCCAAGAUGGCAGCGCAGAGCAUCAGCAGUAAAGAGUAACAGUAAAAGCUCUCUUCAUGUUUUAUUUAUCAGCACUUCAGUUUUAAGUGAAAUUAGAUAAGUGGUUCAUGUUGUUCUGCUCAGUGUCUGACUGUGAACACGGUGCGAUGAUGUUGGUAGAGUAAAAUACUGUGUCGUGCGUUUAUUCACAACUGGUAUCGCUAACAACAGCUGACAACGGCCAACGACAGCUGACAAAUGUAAACAACAGCUGAUAACGAGUAACUGCAGGCGUCCACCUCGGCUUUCCGACUUGUUUACGUCAUUCCCAGCUCUGACAUCCGACCUCCGAGGAAACUGGAACGCAUCAUAAAAACUAAACUAGUCAUUAACAAACAGUGUCACAUGACUCAUCCACAGAGGAGGCGGGGUUUAUGACAGUGCUGCAGACAGCCAGCAGGGGGAGCUCUGAAUGUUCUGACUUCACAGCUGUUGUCAGACGAUCUUCACCGCUCAAACUAACAGACUCUCACUUUGACCUCAGAGUCGGUUAGUUUGUGUGGAAACGACUCAAAAUACUGAAGAAAUUAAGGAGCUGAACGGACCUUCAGUGACGAACCUCAGAGCGCUAUGAAAAAAGGUUACUAUGAGAAGGUUACUAUGAGAAAUUUACUGUAAGAAUGUUACUAUGAAAAGUAACAAAAAGAAGGUAAUUAUGAGAAGGUAGAUAUGAAAAUAUUACUAUGAGAAGGUUACGAUGAGAAAUUUACUGUAAGAAUGUUACUAUGAUAAGUAACAAUAAGUGGGUAAAUAUGAGAAGGUAGAUAUGAGAAUGUUAAUAUGAGAAAGUAACUAUGAGAAGUUUACUAUAAGAAUUUCACCAUGAGAAUGUAACUAUGAGAAGAUAUUAAUGAGAAUGUUAAUAUCUCAUGUAAAUAUGAGAAGGUAGAUAUGAGAAUGUUACUAUGGGAAGAAACUAUAAGUGGGUAACUAUUACAAGGUAAAUAUGAGAAGGCAACUACAAGAAGGUAGAUAUGAGAAUGAUAGUAUGAGAAGGAAAUUGUGAGGGGGUAACUAUGAGAAAGUUACUAUGAAAAGGUUAUAUAAGUGGGUAAAUAUGAGAAGGUAGAUAUGAGGGUUACUAUAAG